UAUUUCCUACGGGGCGCAGCAGUGGGGAAUAUUGCACAAUGGGGGAAACCCUGAUGCAGCGACGCCGCGUGAGUGAAGAAGUAUUUCGGUAUGUAAAGCUCUAUCAGCAGGGAAGAAAAUGACGGUACCUGACUAAGAAGCCCCGGCUAACUACGUGCCAGCAGCCGCGGUAAUACGCAGGGGGCAAGCGUUAUCCGGAUUCACUGGGCGUAAAGGGAGCGCAGGCGGCACGGCAAGUCUGGUGUGAAAGCCCGGGGCCCAACCCCGGGACUGCAUUGGAAACUGCCGGGCUGGAGUGCCGGAGG
Molecule: ribosomal RNA, 305 nt
Filed under: uncultured bacterium
Lineage: Bacteria
Description: bacterial SSU rRNA
Rfam family: Bacterial small subunit ribosomal RNA
Source: RNAcentral